Molecule: ribosomal RNA, 466 nt
Filed under: uncultured bacterium
Lineage: Bacteria
Description: partial 16S ribosomal RNA
Rfam family: Bacterial small subunit ribosomal RNA
Source: RNAcentral
GACGAACGCUGGCGGCGUGCUUAACACAUGCAAGUCGAACGGAAAGGCCCUGCUUGCCGGGUACUCGAGUGGCGAACGGGUGAGUAACACGUGGGUGAUCUGCCCUGCACUUCGGGAUAAGCUUGGGAAACUGGGUCUAAUACCGGAUAGGAACCAUCUUUAGUGUGGUGGUUGGAAAGUUUUUUCGGUGUAGGAUGAGCUCGCGGCCUAUCAGCUUGUUGGUGGGGUAAUGGCCUACCAAGGCGGCGACGGGUAGCCGGCCUGAGAGGGUGUACGGCCACAUUGGGACUGAGAUACGGCCCAGACUCCUACGGGAGGCAGCAGUGGGGAAUAUUGCACAAUGGGCGCAAGCCUGAUGCAGCGACGCCGCGUGGGGGAUGAAGGCCUUCGGGUUGUAAACUCCUUUCGCUAGGGACGAAGCUUUGUUGUGACGGUACCUAGAGAAGAAGCACCGGCUAACUACGUG